CAGCCGCCGCGGUAAUACGUAGGGUGCGAGCGUUAAUCGGAAUUACUGGGCGUAAAGCGUGCGCAGGCGGUUAUGUAAGACAGAGGUGAAAUCCCCGGGCUCAACCUGGGAACUGCCUUUGUGACUGCAUAGCUAGAGUACGGUAGAGGGGGCUGGAAUUCCGCGUGUAGCAGUGAAAUGCGUAGAUAUGCGGAGGAACACCGAUGGCGAAGGCAAUCCCCUGGACCUGUACUGACGCUCAUGCACGAAAGCGUGGGGAGCAAACAGGAUUAGAUACCCUGGUAGUCCACGCCCUAAACGAUGUCAACUGGUUGUUGGGUCUUCACUGACUCAGUAACGAAGCUAACGCGUGAAGUUGACCGCCUGGGGAGUACGGCCGCAAGGUUGAAACUUAAAGGAAUUGGCGGG
RNAcentral lists this ribosomal RNA (408 nucleotides) under uncultured microorganism. Its description in RNAcentral is "bacterial SSU rRNA". It matches the Rfam family "Bacterial small subunit ribosomal RNA", at positions 509 to 917 of the family's 1533-position model. The record is from RNAcentral.